This 468-nucleotide ribosomal RNA is filed under the name uncultured anaerobic ammonium-oxidizing bacterium. Its description in RNAcentral is "bacterial SSU rRNA". It matches the Rfam family "Bacterial small subunit ribosomal RNA", at positions 355 to 813 of the family's 1533-position model. The record is from RNAcentral.
UCGAGAAUCUUUCGCAAUGCCCGAAAGGGUGACGAAGCGACGCCGCGUGUGGGAUGAAGGCCUUCGGGUUGUAAACCACUGUCGGGAGUUAAGAAUUGUAGGAAUGCUAAUAGUAUUUCUACUUGACUAAGGCUCCGGAGGAAGCCACGGCUAACUCUGUGCCAGCAGCCGCGGUAAUACAGAGGCGGCAAGCGUUGUUCGGAAUUAUUGGGCGUAAAGAGCAUGUAGGCGGCUAUGUAAGUCGGUUGUGAAAGCCUUCCGCUUAACGGAAGAAUGGCGGUCGAAACUGCAUGGCUUGAGUGCGGGAGGGGAGAGUGGAACUUCUGGUGGAGCGGUGAAAUGCGUAGAUAUCAGAAGGAACGUCGGCGGCGAAAGCGACUCUCUAGACCGUAACUGACGCUGCGUGCGCGAAAGCUAGGGGAGCAAACGGGAUUAGAUACCCCGGUAGUCCUAGCCGUAAACGAUGGG